Triticum aestivum (bread wheat) is the source of this 2658-nucleotide long non-coding RNA. RefSeq lists it as uncharacterized. The transcript has 4 exons. Lineage: Eukaryota; Viridiplantae; Streptophyta; Magnoliopsida; Poales; Poaceae. The record is from RefSeq and is a predicted model, not a curated record.
CUCCCCAGAAAAUCGCAGCUGCCGGCCUCUUCCUUCGUCGCUCGACUCGGCCAAUGCGAUGAGGACGGACGGAUCCUUCUGUCCUCUCACCCACGACCUCUCGCUUUCCCGCCGUCGACCCUACGUCGUCUCUGCCCGCCAUCCCCUUUCCCCGUCGUGUGACUUCCGCGGCAGACAGGGAAGUCGGCAACCACCGAGGCUCAUGGCCCUCCUACACUUGCCGGAGCCAUCAGCUGGAACCAAGGAAGGUGACGGCCAUGGGCAGGGGUUUCUAGCUCCUCCUUGAUCAGUUCAUCCCGCAGUCACCAUCGUCUUCCAGGCGACCAUGCCAGAUUCGCGUCAUCAUCAUCAUCGCAGGCAGGCGGUGGUGGCUGCGGUGAGGGCACGUGCGGCAGGGAGGGCCAUAACCCUGACUUCAGUACGUGAUGUUACAGGUUGUUGCAGGGAAUAUAUACAGUUUUUGCAAGAGAAAAAAAUGGCUUGUGUUCGGGUGAGGCCCAGAUACAACAUCCCACAUUUUCUUUUCGAAAUCAUCUCUACUUAACUACAAGGUUGUGGUUGCAACUUGGAUGCAGAGGAAUAGUAGUUUGGCUGCUGAGGUAUCAAGGUAAGGAAAAAGAAAUAUUGCCCCAUUGUUUAUCAUUUUGUCUGGUUAGGAUCAUAGUGUAUUUUAAGCCCAUAUCUAUAGCUCUGAAUUAUAUAUUCACACGUACGAAGAAAAAGUAAGAUUAAGUUUGUUUCAUCCUUUGGGUGUAUAUACUGAAGUUCCUGAGUGACAAAGGCUCUUUGAGAAAUAGUAAUAUCAAGUCUGUUUUUAUCACAUAAUGCAGGAUUAUUAAACGCAAACAAAUCCAAGCGGUAUUUGUCAUUUGCUGUAAAGCCCUUGAAAAUGCCUCCAGUAGAAAUGUCAAAGGCUCUUUGAGAAACUUGUACAUUUAUCUCUUCUUUACUUGCCUUUAAUGACAAACAUGAUAGUACCCAAAUUAAUUUCAGGAAGGUACUCCUGUAAGAGGAAACUUUUGAGAUGUAUCAAGCAAUAAAAAUCUUCUCAUGUCAUUUCAAUUUAAUCUAUAAUGCAGAGAUAAAAAACAGUUUUUCCAUUCACCACAUGGAGAUCGCAUUAACUAAGCGUUGUGAGGCAAGCCAUGAUGUUCUUCAAAAUAUGUGGACAAUAAGGUUGCUGAGUGAGCAAUUCUUUUUGCUUCUAUGGUGUUCUCAGGGAGGGAUAUUUCGUGGCCUUGAUGAUAUAUGCAAAACAAAUUUUGUAGGAUUUUUAGCACCCUUUGGAGAGAAAGACAGUAAAUGAGGAAUGAUGUUUAAAUACUAUUGAGUUUUUCUUUUAUUUUCUUCUUGGUUCAGUUUGGAACCAACCUUCUAUGUAGCUGAAAUUUUAUGUAUCAUAUUAGGUCAGUGUUUGCAUUGUGAAAGAUUGUCUUAUGUUAUUUGAACCUUGCCAUAUCGAGAGUACUUUUUAUUUUCAUGUUGUUUGUAAAAACUGCCUCUUUUGAUGCAAUCAGUAGAGCCACAAAACUGUUAUUCACUGCUUAGGCAUAUGAACAUGGACAUGUGGAUGAAUUGUGAAAUGAUGCUGGCUAGCUUGUUACAUAUAGGCAUUGCAUGGCAUGCAUAGUCCUAAUUUAUAUUCUGCAUCAACUUGACAGUUUUGUAAGUUCCGUUCAUAUUAUUUGCAUGACAUAUAAGUAUCUAUUUAUUUAGCUCCUUAAAGAUUGUAAAGUGCAGGUGCACAAUCAAAGGCUUCAUUGUUCUUGCCCGCAAAAAAAAGGCUUCACUUUUUUGUUUAAAAAAGGCUUGUUUGGUCAUAGUUCGUUGGGAAAGGUAAGGUUAUGGAAAUAUUGUCUCUUUCGACAAAACUCGCACCGAUAGGGUGGUCACAGAUUAUUAAUAAUUUAAUAACAUACACAAAGUUUGUUGUCUUUACAAUGAAUCAAACAGAACACGUUGAAGUCUCAAAGAAAACAUAAUAUGUAAAUUUAGAUGGUGAGGUUAUGAUUUGAUAUUCUUACCUUAUGUACUAUUUUGUUCAUAAAAUGUUUUACACUCGCAUGUUCGGUCGGAAAGGCCUUGGGCUGCUAGCAGUUAAAUUUUGGAGUAGUUUUUUGUAUUGAUCUGCAAUACCCUAAUGAUAAGAAAUGAUUUUUUUAUCGUAUGACUCUUAUAUAUUCAUAUAUUCCUUCAAUUUUGCAGAAACUCGAGCAAAUUGUGAACCUGUAUGUAUCAAAGAAUUUUCUGAAUUAUGUUUGCGCAUAUGGCAAUAUGAAAAGGUAGGGCCAUAAUGAUGGUACGCAUAGUGGGAGUGGAAGAGAAGCAUGUGUCGUCGCCAAAGUCACAGUGGUUGUGAUCAUCCACGUCCAACCCAACAAAGAUUGACAUGUAGCAGGGUUCAUCUGGCUUGCAUUACAUGUCGGGCACAGGUUAGUCGCGUGCUCCAAAAAAUUGCGCCGAAGGGCCGAGAUGACCAUGACCUACUCGCCGAUGGCACCGACGCAAGCCAUAGGAUCAUCUGUUGUCAUGAGAGCAGGAGCGGCCGAACCCGCCUCAGUUGGGAGUAGCCAACACCCAACCUUAUUAAUACUGAUAAUCUUGAGGCACAACGAACCAAAGUAAAAGAGCCGGCUGAUGAUGAUCAUUCUAGAGAAA